This 524-nucleotide unclassified non-coding RNA is filed under the name Sphingomonas sp. SL9. RNAcentral describes it as "16S-23S ribosomal RNA intergenic spacer". The record is from RNAcentral. Lineage: Bacteria; Pseudomonadati; Pseudomonadota; Alphaproteobacteria; Sphingomonadales; Sphingomonadaceae.
CGAUAGGCUCCACCACUGCGCAGUUCGAGAGACGGUUUAGCGAAGCUAAAUAGCACUCGAACAAGCACGGCCAGCGCUGCUAAGCGCGCCCAUAAGGCGCAGCUUUGCUGCGACUGACGGGCGCAAGCGGGCGCGACGCGCUCGACCAAUAUCCAGAGAUGAAGAGAAACGGUUCCGCAUUCGUGCGGAAAUUGGAGGCUACGGCCUCCCUUAUUUGACAUUGUGAAUGGGUUCUUAAAAUCGAUGCCGUGAUAUCGGCGUUGGUUCGACGAGAACGUUUUGGUUCGGGUUUACCCGGAUUGGAGCGGUUCGAGGCGGACACAACGCUUUAAAUAAUCAGGCUGAGCAUUUUAAUCAUCCGCACCAAGAUACUGUGACAUUGCUGCUCUGCCGAGUUUUGGUUCGAUCCGUCAGGAUCGAUCCCAGCAUUGUCAUUGGUGGUGCGGACUCUCAAGCGUGAGGUAAGGGCAAUUCGUGGAUGCCUUGGCGCAUACAGGCGAUGAAGGACGUGGCACGCUGCGAUA